AUUCGCAGAGUGUAAAGGCACAAGGGAGCUUGACUGCGAGACCUACAAGUCGAGCAGGGACGAAAGUCGGGCUUAGUGAUCCGGUGGUUCCGCAUGGAAGGGCCAUCGCUCAACGGAUAAAAGCUACCCUGGGGAUAACAGGCUUAUCUCCCCCAAGAGUCCACAUCGACGGGGAGGUUUGGCACCUCGAUGUCGGCUCAUCGCAUCCUGGAGCUGAAGUAGGUUCCAAGGGUUGGGCUGUUCGCCCAUUAAAGCGGUACGCGAGCUGGGUUCAGAACGUCGUGAG
RNAcentral lists this ribosomal RNA (286 nucleotides) under Acinetobacter pittii. Its description in RNAcentral is "partial 23S ribosomal RNA". It matches the Rfam family "Bacterial large subunit ribosomal RNA", at positions 2340 to 2625 of the family's 2925-position model. Lineage: Bacteria; Pseudomonadati; Pseudomonadota; Gammaproteobacteria; Moraxellales; Moraxellaceae. The record is from RNAcentral.